GCCUUGGAUUCUGGGGGAGUUUCUUAAAAAAAGAGGUGAAAGCCUCUAAAUGCGGCUCUGUGACAAAAAGGCGAGCCCUGAGGCGCUGCCCCCAUCCCUGGCUUUGGAUGCACUUCCUUUUCCCUCGCGUUCUCCUCCUUUUCCUGCUGUCCCUGUGUCCUUCCUCCCGAGGGGAGGCUGUGAGUAACCGAGAGUCAGCGUGACAAGGGCACUGAACCCCUGCGACAGAGCAGGGACAAUCCCAGGGCAGUUCCCUACGCCUCUGCAGAGAUCGCGCUGCUGGAAUUUGCCGUUGAUCUGAAUUUACAAAACAAUUUGAUCUGGAUAAAAAAAAAACAAAAGCUCAGAUGCUGAACAGGUCCAGGUCAAGGUUGGGGGAUGUUUGCAAAUGUGCACAAGCACAAGGUUUUGUGCUUCCACAACCUUUAGGAAAAGUGUUUCUUUUAAGCUGUGAGAGUUUUGGACUUGAAAACUGCAAGUGCAUCCUCCAAGAGCCGAGGUUGCUGUUUGGUGAGGGUGGAAUGAAGCUCUGCAGUGUGCCAGAGCUGAACCAAAGGAGCUGAAGUGAAAUGCCUGACCUGAAGGGAUGCAGCCACUGCUGCAGGACCAGGCCAUUCUGGGAAGCUCCUCAUGUGCUUUGCACCACACUUGUGUCACAGCUGACUUGGAGCCUUUGGAACUGGAAAUGAGCCCUGGUUCAGGCAGUGGCUCUAAAAAGCAUUCUGAGUGUCAGGCAUUCCCAGGCAGAAAAAAAAAAACCCUUGUGAACCCAGUGAAACAGAGAAACACAGAAACUCCCAAGCAUGUGAGCAUUCACAGGAUCCUCUUUUAUUGCACUUCCCCAAAUGUUGUUUUGCAAGGAAAUUGGAAUAAAUCUGCUAUGAUCUAAUCGCAGGAAAGUGAAAGGACAUGGAUUAUAAACAGGGAGUCAAUCACUGCAGAUGAUCACCGUGACUCUGACGUUGGACAGAGACACUGAACGUUUGGCAAACUUCUUUUGGAUCAUUUCCUUUUCGUUCUGGAGCUGCUGUGGAACAGAGAAACCAUUCCACACAAACAAAUCCCUUCCAUACCCGGUGAGAUCCCAACACCCAGAGCCAGGAAUAAACAAGGGCAGUAAAUAAUCCCUGUGAAUUACCUGAAAUCACCGUGCUGCCUUGAGAAACUCUACCAAAUGCAUGUGGGAUCAUGCUCGGGCCUGUUGAAAAACAAACAGUGAUUAAAGCAGCCCUUUGGAGCUGAGCUGCUGAGGGCAAUAU
This is a non-coding RNA of Sturnus vulgaris (Common starling), 1259 nucleotides long. NCBI's taxonomy places the organism in Eukaryota, Metazoa, Chordata, Aves, Passeriformes, Sturnidae. The record is from RefSeq and is a predicted model, not a curated record.